GAUGAACGCUGGCGGCGUGCCUAAUACAUGCAAGUCGAGCGAACAGAUGAGGAGCUUGCUCCUCUGACGUUAGCGGCGGACGGGUGAGUAACACGUGGAUAACCUACCUAUAAGACUGGGAUAACUUCGGGAAACCGGAGCUAAUACCGGAUAAUAUAUUGAACCGCAUGGUUCAAUAGUGAAAGACGGUUUUGCUGUCACUUAUAGAUGGAUCCGCGCCGCAUUAGCUAGUUGGUAAGGUAACGGCUUACCAAGGCAACGAUGCGUAGCCGACCUGAGAGGGUGAUCGGCCACACUGGAACUGAGACACGGUCCAGACUCCUACGGGAGGCAGCAGUAGGGAAUCUUCCGCAAUGGGCGAAAGCUUGACGGAGCAACGCCGCGUGAGUGAUGAAGGUCUUCGGAUCGUGAAACUCUGUUAUUAGGGAAGAACAAAUGUGUAAGUAACUAUGCACGUCUUGACGGUACCUAAUCAGAAAGCCACGGCUAACUACGUG
Molecule: ribosomal RNA, 497 nt
Filed under: uncultured bacterium
Lineage: Bacteria
Description: partial 16S ribosomal RNA
Rfam family: Bacterial small subunit ribosomal RNA
Source: RNAcentral